RNAcentral lists this long non-coding RNA (204 nucleotides) under Panax ginseng (ginseng). RNAcentral describes it as "long non-coding RNA (PGIN_LNC013652)". The record is from RNAcentral. Lineage: Eukaryota; Viridiplantae; Streptophyta; Magnoliopsida; Apiales; Araliaceae.
CCCUUCAUAUGGAUAAAUUAUAAAUUCUAAUUCGAUAUCAUUUUAUUCCAUAUCAAGUUCCAGUUUAUUGCCAGCCUCCUUGUUGGAUCUUAGGAUCAGCCUUAUGAAGAGAUUAUUUGCCACCGGUGGAUUGUGUCGACUUAAUUUUGUAAGACAGAAGAGAAUGAUAGCUAGCACCAACCCCUCCUCAAAAAAGGUUUCUCC